AGUGAACGCUGGCGGUAGGCCUAACACAUGCAAGUCGAACGGCAGCACAGGAGAGCUUGCUCUCUGGGUGGCGAGUGGCGGACGGGUGAGGAAUACAUCGGAAUCUACUCUGUCGUGGGGGAUAACGUAGGGAAACUUACGCUAAUACCGCAUACGACCUACGGGUGAAAGCAGGGGAUCUUCGGACCUUGCGCGAUUGAAUGAGCCGAUGUCGGAUUAGCUAGUUGGCGGGGUAAAGGCCCACCAAGGCGACGAUCCGUAGCUGGUCUGAGAGGAUGGUCAGCCCCACUGGAACUGAGACACGGGCCAGACUCCUACGGGAGGCAGCAGUGGGGAAUAUUGGACAAUGGGCGCAAGCCUGAUCCAGCCAUACCGCGUGGGUGAAGAAGGCCUUCGGGUUGUAAAGCCCUUUUGUUGGGAAAGAAAUCCAGCUGGCUAAUACCCGGUUGGGAUGACGGUACCCAAAGAAUAAGCACCGGCUAACUUCGUGCCAGCAGCCGCCGUAA
Molecule: ribosomal RNA, 506 nt
Filed under: uncultured bacterium
Lineage: Bacteria
Description: partial 16S ribosomal RNA
Rfam family: Bacterial small subunit ribosomal RNA
Source: RNAcentral